AGUGAACGCUGGCGGUAGGCCUAACACAUGCAAGUCGAACGGCAGCACAGUAAGAGCUUGCUCUUACGGGUGGCGAGUGGCGGACGGGUGAGGAAUACAUCGGAAUCUACUUUUUCGUGGGGGAUAACGUAGGGAAACUUACGCUAAUACCGCAUACGACCUACGGGUGAAAGCAGGGGAUCUUCGGACCUUGCGCGAUUGAAUGAGCCGAUGUCGGAUUAGCUAGUUGGCGGGGUAAAGGCCCACCAAGGCGACGAUCCGUAGCUGGUCUGAGAGGAUGGUCGGCGACACUGGAAGUGAGACACGGUCCAGAGUCCUACGGGAGGCAGCAGUGGGGAAUAGUGGACAAUGGGCGCAAGCCUGAUCCAGCCAUACCGCGUGGGUGAAGAAGGCCUUCGGGUUGUAAAGCCCUUUUGUUGGGAAAGAAAAGCAGCAGGUUAAUACCCCGCUGUUCUGACGGUACCCAAAGAAUAAGCACCGGCUAACUUCGUG
This 492-nucleotide ribosomal RNA is filed under the name uncultured bacterium. Its description in RNAcentral is "partial 16S ribosomal RNA". It matches the Rfam family "Bacterial small subunit ribosomal RNA", at positions 29 to 507 of the family's 1533-position model. The record is from RNAcentral.